UACGUAGGGGGCAAGCGUUGUCCGGAUUUAUUGGGCGUAAAGCGUGCGUAGGUGGUUUGUUAAGUCUGUUGUGAAAGCCCCGGGCUCAACCUGGGAAUGGCAAUGGAUACUGGCAGGCUAGAGUGCGGUAGAGGGUAGUGGAAUUCCCGGUGUAGCGGUGAAAUGCGUAGAGAUCGGGAGGAACACCAGUGGCGAAGGCGGCUACCUGGACCAGCACUGACACUGAGGCACGAAAGCGUGGGGAGCAAACAGG
This 253-nucleotide ribosomal RNA is filed under the name uncultured bacterium. RNAcentral's name for it is "partial 16S ribosomal RNA". It matches the Rfam family "Bacterial small subunit ribosomal RNA", at positions 524 to 776 of the family's 1533-position model. The record is from RNAcentral.